RNAcentral lists this ribosomal RNA (486 nucleotides) under uncultured bacterium. RNAcentral's name for it is "partial 16S ribosomal RNA". It matches the Rfam family "Bacterial small subunit ribosomal RNA", at positions 29 to 507 of the family's 1533-position model. The record is from RNAcentral.
AUUGAACGCUGGCGGCAUGCCUUACACAUGCAAGUCGAACGGCAGCACGGGGGGUAACCCCUGGUGGCGAGUGGCGAACGGGUGAGUAAUAUAUCGGAACGUGUCCUGUAGCGGGGGAUAACCUAUCGAAAGAUGGACUAAUACCGCAUACGACCUACGGGUGAAAGCGGAGGACCGCAAGGCUUCGCACUAUAGGAGCGGCCGAUAUCGGAUUAGCUAGUUGGCGGGGUAACGGCCCACCAAGGCGACGAUCCGUAGCUGGUCUGAGAGGACGAUCAGCCACACUGGAACUGAGACACGGUCCAGACUCCUACGGGAGGCAGCAGUGGGGAAUUUUGGACAAAGGGCGCAAGCCUGAUCCAGCCAUGCCGCGUGAGUGAAGAAGGCCUUCGGGUUGUAAAGCUCUUUCGGCGGGGACGAAACGGUUCGUGCUAAUACCACGGACUACUGACGGUACCCGCAGAAGAAGCACCGGCUAACUACGUG